AGCGAACGUUAGCGGCGGGCCUAACACAUGCAAGUCGAACGCGAAAGGUCUUCGGACUGAGUAGAGUGGCGCACGGGUGAGUAACACGUAGGUAAUCUACCCUUUGGCGGGGGAUAACGUUCCGAAAGGAGCGCUAAUACCGCAUAAGACCACGGAGUCUCCGGACGCUGUGGGAAAAGGUGGCCUCUUCUUGAAAGCUACCACCGAAGGAUGAGCCUGCGUCCCAUUAGCUAGUUGGUAAGGUAAUGGCUUACCAAGGCGAAGACGGGUAGCUGGUUUGAGAGAAUGAUCAGCCACACUGGCACUGGAACACGGGCCAGACUCCUACGGGAGGCAGCAGUGAGGAAUAUUGGGCAAUGGGCGAAAGCCUGACCCAGCCACGCCGCGUGAGUGAUGAAGGCCCUCGGGUCGUAAAGCUCUGUGGAGAGGGACGAAAAACCCUGGUUUCAAAUAGGCUCCAGGCUUGACGGUACCUCUUUAGCAAGCACCGGCUAACUCUGUGCCAGCAGCCGCG
This 514-nucleotide ribosomal RNA is filed under the name uncultured bacterium. RNAcentral's name for it is "bacterial SSU rRNA". It matches the Rfam family "Bacterial small subunit ribosomal RNA", at positions 29 to 519 of the family's 1533-position model. The record is from RNAcentral.